GAACGCUGGCGGCGCAGGCCUAUCACAUGCAAGUCGAACGGUAACAGGAAGCAGCUUGCUGCUUUGCUGACGAGUGGCGGACGGGUGAGUAAUGUCUGGGAAACUGCCUGAUGGAGGGGGAUAACUACUGGAAACGGUAGCUAAUACCGCAUAACGUCGCAAGACCAAAGAGGGGGACCUUCGGGCCUCUUGCCAUCAGAUGUGCCCAGAUGGGAUUAGCUUGUUGGUGGGGUAACGGCUCACCAAGGCGACGAUCCCUAGCUGGUCUGAGAGGAUGACCAGCCACACUGGAACUGAGACACGGUCCAGACUCCUACGGGAGGCAGCAGUGGGGAAUAUUGCACAAUGGGCGCAAGCCUGAUGCAGCCAUGCCGCGUGUAUGAAGAAGGCCUUCGGGUUGUAAAGUACUUUCAGCGGGGAGGGAGGUGUUGUGGUUAAUAACCGCAGCAAUUGACGUUACCCGCAGAAGAAGCACCGGCUAACUCCGUGCCAGCAGACGCGGUAAUACGGAGGGUGCAAGCGUUAAUCGGAAUUACUGGGCGUAAAGCGCCACGCAGGCGGUCUCGUUAAGUCAGAUGUGAAAUCCCCGGGCUCACCUGGGAACUGCAUCUGAUACUGGCAGGCUUGAGUCUCG
Molecule: ribosomal RNA, 634 nt
Filed under: uncultured Gammaproteobacteria bacterium
Lineage: Bacteria; Pseudomonadati; Pseudomonadota; Gammaproteobacteria
Description: bacterial SSU rRNA
Rfam family: Bacterial small subunit ribosomal RNA
Source: RNAcentral